This 349-nucleotide ribosomal RNA is filed under the name uncultured soil bacterium. Its description in RNAcentral is "bacterial SSU rRNA". It matches the Rfam family "Bacterial small subunit ribosomal RNA", at positions 26 to 376 of the family's 1533-position model. The record is from RNAcentral.
AGAUUGAACGCUGGCGGCAGGCCUAACACAUGCAAGUCGAGCGGCAGCACGGGUACUUGUACCUGGUGGCGAGCGGCGGACGGGUGAGUAAUGCCUAGGAAUCUGCCUGGUAGUGGGGGAUAACGCUCGGAAACGGACGCUAAUACCGCAUACGUCCUACGGGAGAAAGCAGGGGACCUUCGGGCCUUGCGCUAUCAGAUGAGCCUAGGUCGGAUUAGCUAGUUGUGAGGUAAUGGCUCACCGAAGGCGACGAUCCGUAAUGGUCUGGAGAGGAUGAUCAGUCACAUGGAACUGAGACACGGUCAGACUCCGUACGGGAGCAGCGAGUUAGGGAAUAGUUGGAACAAGU